Molecule: long non-coding RNA, 969 nt
Organism: Mauremys reevesii (Reeves's turtle)
Lineage: Eukaryota; Metazoa; Chordata; Testudines; Geoemydidae
Exons: 4
Source: RefSeq, a predicted model, not a curated record
GGGAAGAUAAGACGAGAGGCAAUUGGGCAGAAUAACAGCUGGAGGAAGGUUGUUGCCUGUUGCUGUUAGGGGGAAAUAGGGGACACCUGCUACUACCUCUGCCUUGGGAGGCUUCAACAAGAUGCAGAGUGGGAGUGCUGACUGCAUCUAAAUCUUGCAUCUUCCAUGCAGAAGCAAUGGAACCUAGAAGCAGGAAGAGAGCAUGCUUCCCAUCCACUCAGAUCAGCAACACCCUCUCCUCCUAUUUCCAUCACAGCAACAGUUCCAGAUCUAGCCCUUAAAAACCCUAGGUCCACCGGGAGGAUUCAGAUGACCACCAGCAGCAGGAGGAGGAGCUGCAAGCAGGACAGAAAGGUCUCAUACACUCUUGAAGUCAUCUGAGCAACCUGAUGUUGAAUUGUUUCUGGCCUAGAUUGUUGCAGAUGGACCACACCAGAUUGAGGCUCUGUUGGACCAGCUCCGGAGACUUGCUCUUGAUGAGCCAGUCAUUGAGAUACAGGAAGAUUUGGAUGCCUCAACUUCUCAGGUCCCUGACGAGGCUUCCAGAGUGUUGGCCAGAAGGGCUUCCUGGCUGAUUGUGGCCUGUGCAUGCCCAACAGGCGAAGGGUAGCCCUAGUGUCCUUCAACCCGUGCAGCUUGGCAUCCAUUUGAUCCAAGAACAGACCAACUCUGUCAAAGGGGAGGUCCUGGAUCGAGGCCUGCAUCUCCUGGGAGAGGCCUGCUGUCUGGAGUCAGGAACUAUGUCGCAUGACCACCACUGAUGUGACCACCUUUCCUGCUGAGUCCACCAUGUCCCAUGCAGUCUGCAGGGAGCAUCUGGCCACCAUCAUACCCUUCUCCACCAGAGUUGCACACUCUUGGGCCAAACCCUGAAGGAGGUAUUCCUGGAACUUUUUGAGACCAUCCCAGAGAUUAAAAUUAUACCGGCCCUGCAGGGGCUGAUGGUUCACUACCCAAAAUUGCAGGCUG